Molecule: ribosomal RNA, 550 nt
Filed under: uncultured bacterium
Lineage: Bacteria
Description: bacterial SSU rRNA
Rfam family: Bacterial small subunit ribosomal RNA
Source: RNAcentral
UAGGGAAUCUUCGGCAAUGGACGGAAGNCUGGACCGAGCAACCCCGCGUGAGUGAAGAAGGUUUUCGGAUCGUAAAGCUCUGUUGUAAGAGAAGAACGAGUGUGAGAGUGGAAAGUUCACACUGUGACGGUAUCUUACCAGAAAGGGACGGCUAACUACGUGCCAGCAGCCGCGGUAAUACGUAGGUCCCGAGCGUUGUCCGGAUUUAUUGGGCGUAAAGCGAGCGCAGGCGGUUAGAUAAGUCUGAAGUUAAAGGCUGUGGCUUAACCAUAGUAGGCUUUGGAAACUGUUUAACUUGAGUGCAAGAGGGGAGAGUGGAAUUCCAUGUGUAGCGGUGAAAUGCGUAGAUAUAUGGAGGAACACCGGUGGCGAAAGCGGCUCUCUGGCUUGUAACUGACGCUGAGGCUCGAAAGCGUGGGGAGCAAACAGGAUUAGAUACCCUGGUAGUCCACGCUGUAAACGAUGAGUGCUAGGUGUUAGACCCUUUCCGGGGUUUAGUGCCGUAGCUAACGCAUUAAGCACUCCGCCUGGGAGUACGACCGCANGGUUG